CCGCACAAGCGGUGGAGCAUGUGGUUAAUUCGAAGCAACGCGUAAGAACCUUACCAGGUCUUGACAUCCCGAUGCUAUUUCUAGAGAUAGAAAGUUACUUCGGUACAUCGGUGACAGGUGGUGCAUGGUUGUCGUCAGCUCGUGUCGUGAGAUGUUGGGUUAAGUCCCGCAACGAGCGCAACCCCUAUUGUUAGUUGCCAUCAUUCAGUUGGGCACUCUAGCGAGACUGCCGGUAAUAAACCGGAGGAAGGUGGGGAUGACGUCAAAUCAUCAUGCCCCUUAUGACCUGGGCUACACACGUGCUACAAUGGUUGGUACAACGAGUUGCGAGUCGGUGACGGCGAGCUAAUCUCUUAAAGCCAAUCUCAGUUCGGAUUGUAGGCUGCAACUCGCCUACAUGAAGUCGGAAUCGCUAGUAAUCGCGGAUCAGCACGCCGCGGUGAAUACGUUCCCGGGCCUU
RNAcentral lists this ribosomal RNA (460 nucleotides) under uncultured Streptococcus sp. RNAcentral's name for it is "bacterial SSU rRNA". It matches the Rfam family "Bacterial small subunit ribosomal RNA", at positions 921 to 1382 of the family's 1533-position model. The record is from RNAcentral. Lineage: Bacteria; Bacillati; Bacillota; Bacilli; Lactobacillales; Streptococcaceae.